This is a long non-coding RNA of Saccostrea cuccullata (small rock oyster), 166 nucleotides long. RefSeq lists it as uncharacterized. The record is from RefSeq and is a predicted model, not a curated record. The transcript has 2 exons. NCBI's taxonomy places the organism in Eukaryota, Metazoa, Mollusca, Bivalvia, Ostreida, Ostreidae.
UGGCUGAUCUUAAAGAAACAUCACAGUGACUGCUAGUUAUCACUGGGGAUACUGGUCUAAACUUCAUGAUGCACACUUUAGUUCACAACUCUUGAGGAACAGCUCAGUCUUUUCCAAAACUGGAUGUCAAGUUUACUGCAUCCUUUUUUAGUCUACUCUUGUCUCC